GACGCUUAACCAUCUGAGCCACCCAGGUGCCUCUGAAAUGACUUCUAAAGUACAUAUAUUAAGAUAGAAGAAAUUUUAAAUAAAAAUCAAGGUCAAGAAAAAGACUAGGGGGAACUUAAAUACACACACAAAUCACAGGGUCUCAUAAUUACUAACAGUGAGGUGUGAAUUUGGCUCUGAGCUUCCUGGCAGCCUAAGCAAUAAGAGAAAGGUGAUCCAUUUAAUGAUUCACUUUUUCCCUGAGGAAACACACACCCAUUCUUCAGGGAGAGCAAUGGGAUCCCUGCUCUGAGUUCCGGCAAGUGGUUUCCCCCGCCACUGAGAGCUGUAAGCAUGGUGAGGCAGUGUCUCACCCCAGUCCUCUCUUGGUCAUCUGUCUCCACUGAUGACUCUUCUGGGCCCCAUGCUGUUCCAUGGCCUGUGCUGGUCUGUGCUUGCCCUGCAGUUGUGCUAACCAAGGCUCUUCAUGACAAAGUUGCAGAGAAUUGUCAAAACCUCAUGGUCUCGCAGAGUUUACACUUGAAAUGUGGCGUCUUUGUUGACUGGCUAGGGCUCUGGCGACUGUUGUUCUGAAUUUGCCAUUGGAAAGACACAUGCAAACGCUGGGACCUAAGGCACCUCUCACUCUUCUGAGGAGGUGCCUGCAAAAUGGAGGCAUUUAAUAAGGGUCUUUCUGGCUUUGCCAGCCCUGUACUUCCUGGUUUCUCUUUGAGAGUCUCUGAGCCGCCUUGCAGGGCUGGAGGGGUUUUAGGAUUUAACUUUUUGAACAGCAACUAGGUGAGGUACCACCUGAACAAAACACCCCCUUCUCCCCCUUUGGCCACAGUCCAUCCCUGAGUCACCCUCUCUUCGCUCCCCCGUCAUUUUAACCACUUCCUGCUUGCCUUUUGUUGUCUAGAUAGCAUGGUCAGAAUGACAUAUUUGAACACUUCCCUGCCAUCUCAUGUAAUUUUCCCUUCCAGGCUGAUUCCUUUUCUGAAUGUUAGAAUUCUGUCUUCUGAGGAUCUAAGUUACAUUUCUGACAGCGCUAGUAAAAUAAUGAUGUUCGCUCAUAUGUAUUGAAUGCUCCCGAAAGGCAGGCACUGGGCUCGGCUUUUUCCAUCCCGUCUCUCACUCCUCCCAACAGCCCCAGGAAAUAGAUACUGUGAUUAUCCUCAUUUUUCAGAAUGGGAAGAAGGAGCCCAAGACCAGUUGUCCCACGUCACCCAGAGUGUAAAAUGUGGAGCUGGCAUUGGCCCUCGGAUCAUCUGACCAGAGUCUGUGUGCUUGACCAUCACCCAGGACCCCCUUCCACGGUAUCUAAAGGACAUUCAGUCCCCCUGAGGGUCUCUCGUUCCCCUGUUGAUCAGGAUUAGUGCCAGAGCUCCGUGGUGACGGCGUCUUCUCCCUCCCGGACAAUGGGAAUAUCAGCAAAGCAAGAGUUUGUCAGAUGUUUUUUAACGAAAUGAUGACCUUUCCAGCAGAUGAUUUGGGUCUCCCAGCCCUACUGGCCGCUGGGCAGGCUGGGGGACUGCCCCCAGGUUUUAUCCAGCCCGGCCAUCUGGGUGACCAACAUCGUUGCUUGGGCUGGUGUUUCUCCCUCUUCCUCUGUCCCCUAGGCCCUCCUGGGUGUCUCCUCUCCCAGGCCCAUGGUUUCCUUGAAAGUAGACGUUUUCCUGACACACAGCUCCCUACCGUGGGUGUCAUUGCUCACCUCUGCCCCCAGGUGAGGCCGAGAGCACCCUAGCAAAGGCUCGUCUCUCUUCCCUCAGGGCCUCGAUGAAUCUCUCCAGCCCCUGAGUCCCGGGGCCACCAGCUCCGUCCUGACCUUGGGGCCACACCCUUUGCUCUGCGCUGGCUCUUGCUUCAGUUGUCCCACUAAAUCCUCAGACUGUCUUCACCAGAGAUGCUGCCUUCAUGCACAGUGAGGGCAGAUCCCAGAAGCUGCAGCCCAGCAGAGCCCGCCCUCCUGUCUGCCAAAAGCGUGUCCGUCACUUGCCUCCAACAUGCAGCUGCUUUUUCCUCUGGGCAAACGUUCACCCCCAGUCAGCAUUGAGUGGUCCCAUCUGCUUCACGUGGUCCCCACAAGAAAGUCCCAUCAGUUCCACAUGGGACAGAGUGGCCACCCAGUCAGUGCCAAGCCCUGAACAAUGCUUCCUGCGGAGUCCCUGCCUGUGGGGCCUCCGGCCACUGGAAGCCAAAUGCCCUUAAUGGAUGGAAAGGCCCGAGUGUUUAGCGGAAAUGAGAGGCUGCUAUUCCAGAGACUCUUGGUAGAGAACCUUGCUGUGUCCCUCCUCGUCUAGGUCUUGGUGACGUCUAAGAGGUGGACCAAAGUGGCACUGGAUUAAAGGGAACUCCAAGGCUACAUGGAAGUGUGUUAAGUAAAUAUGGGUUGAAUAAAAUGAUGUCACAGGGUCCACAACCCAAAAGACGUGGUAGAGAAAGAAUGUCUUCAACUCCUGUACAGAAUGUCUUCCUCAAGAGUCUGCUGGGUUAUUGUCACAAGAGCCCCGUGAGAUUCAAGAGUCAGGGGCUAACCCUCAGAAGGGACAGAGAGGGAAGUGAAGAUGGAAGUGAGGACAAUGACUGACUUAGCAAUGGCAAUCCACAGUGGUCUUGUGUGUUCCUGGUUUCUGCCUCAUUAACUGGAACCUAAGGUCCCUUCACAGAAAAUAGAUAGCUGCAUUCAAAGGCUUUAAAAAGAAAAGAUGCCAAAUAUGGAAAAUGGAUUACAGGGUGACACAGCUCUUGCAAAAACGGAGGCAAAGGAGUGUGGGCUCUGGAGUCCGAGUCCACCAGCUCUGUAGACUCAGGGCCAAACAGCUCGCCUCCCUCUCUGCCUGUGUCCCCGCGCCCCCAGAGAUGGGGCUAAUGACCGUGUCACCCCCAGGGCUGACAUCGGGGUUCCAGGAGGCCUGAGUUGACCAUCAGGGUGACGUGGACACACACGGCAGAAGGAAGGCCACUUCAUCAGGCUACUGUGAACAAGCAAAGUCAGGAAACCUUGGGAGUAAGAUUUGUCAUCUUGCGGGGGAGGCUCUCUGUGCGAGCUGACUUCGUGAUUAUCUGCGGCUCAGAGCUUCCUGUCCUCGGUCACAGUAAACAGGGAGCCGGCGCUGCGGCGGAUCGCGCCUUCCAUCCCUGUUGCAGACCGUUCCCUCUCUGAGCGUGGGCAUUAGCAGGGGUGCCGGUGUGGUGACAGGGAGCCCAGGGCGAGUGCGGAGCAGGGAACAGGAUCUACUCUUGGCCACUUCAGGGAUGGAUCAGAGAGGCCCACAGGAAACCCAGAAAACCAAGGACAGCGAAGGAGACCAUCAACAAAUCUAAAAGGCAACCUACUGAAUGCAAGAGGAUAUUUGCAAACGCCAUAUACAACAAAGGGCUAGUACCCAAACUAUAUAAAGAACUGAUACAACAACACAGAAAAAAUAUAA
Callorhinus ursinus (northern fur seal) is the source of this 3413-nucleotide long non-coding RNA. RefSeq lists it as uncharacterized. The record is from RefSeq and is a predicted model, not a curated record. NCBI's taxonomy places the organism in Eukaryota, Metazoa, Chordata, Mammalia, Carnivora, Otariidae.